GAGGUGUGAUUUCACCACUUCUGGGGAUUUUAUUUCAAAUUUUGAUGGUGAAGGCGUGUUGUUCUUAUGCCUGUAUUAGUUGGCUUUGUGUAAUAAAUUAGUUAUUUUUGCUGGAGUAGUUUGAGCAUCACUUGCAGUUUGAUUCCUGCACUUAUAUCUAAUAUCUUGAACAAUUUUCUUUUAUAGCUUUAUGAUAGAUUUCUUAGUGAGUCCAUUAUAAAUGCGGUUAAGAGUAAAGAAAAUAUUUAAUGCUUUUUGUAAAGUGGUAAAACUUUCGACAUGGUUUUGAUUGACUAAUGGCAUCUCUGUUUGAGCUAUUUGAAUGUUGACUGUUCUUACGAGCUGGUUGUUGAGCCUGAUAAUAUUUUUUUUUUUUACGAGCUGGUUGUUGAGCCUGAUAAUAAGCUAUUUGAAUGUUGACUGUUCUUACGAGCUGGUUGUUGAGCCUGAUAAUAUUUUUUUUUUUUUGACUUUUGUUUCCAAUGGGUGUAUUUGUUAUGGCAGAAGUUAGUUGCAGUAACGUUUCCAGAUUUGUAGCCUUUAUCAUGUCAAGGCACAGUAGGUGCCCUAUUCAAGAUGUGCUCAGACAGGAUUAUGCAAACUCCCUGAAUUUCCUUCAGUUUUUUCGUAUUGUAUAAGUUAGUUACAUUUGUUCCUUGCAG
Molecule: long non-coding RNA, 662 nt
Filed under: Citrus sinensis (sweet orange)
Lineage: Eukaryota; Viridiplantae; Streptophyta; Magnoliopsida; Sapindales; Rutaceae
Description: long non-coding RNA (CSIN_LNC000254)
Source: RNAcentral